AUUGAACGCUGGCGGCAUGCCUUACACAUGCAAGUCGAACGGCAGCACGGGGGCAACCCUGGUGGCGAGUGGCGAACGGGUGAGUAAUACAUCGGAACGUGCCCAGUAGUGGGGGAUAGCCCGGCGAAAGCCGGAUUAAUACCGCAUACGACCUACGGGUGAAAGCGGGGGAUCGCAAGACCUCGCGCUAUCGGAGCGGCCGAUGUCAGAUUAGGUUGUUGGUGGGGUAAAAGCCUACCAAGCCGACGAUCUGUAGCUGGUCUGAGAGGACGACCAGCCACACUGGGACUGAGACACGGCCCAGACUCCUACGGGAGGCAGCAGUGGGGAAUUUUGGACAAUGGGCGCAAGCCUGAUCCAGCCACGCCGCGUGCGGGAAGAAGGCCU
RNAcentral lists this ribosomal RNA (387 nucleotides) under uncultured bacterium. Its description in RNAcentral is "bacterial SSU rRNA". It matches the Rfam family "Bacterial small subunit ribosomal RNA", at positions 29 to 417 of the family's 1533-position model. The record is from RNAcentral.